UUGUAAAAAUUCGAGUAAACUGAAAUAUUACAGAUAAAGCCCAUGAGGUAUUAAAGUAAACAUCCACAACUCUCGAAAUCCUGCAAGGUAUGAUGAUUUUGAAUCAGUGAUUAGGUCUUAUCCGACCAAUUCUUAGAAACUACUAGUUUUAGCAGUAUUUUGGAGAAUCUAAAGCCUUAGCUUGUGUAUGGUCCAGACAUCACCGAGCACCCAAGUAUAAAUUAGCCUUACAACUCUCUAACAGAAACUUAAUGACUUCAACUUAAAUUGCAUACUGAUUUAGGAUUUGGGCUGACUUAGUAAUUAAAACUUUGUGUGCUUUUGAAAUUAUUGGGACUUAUGCAAUUAGAUUUUAUAAAACAAUAAAAUAAAUUCUUUUGACAGCAGUUUGUGGGUAUCUGAGUCGGAAACCCUCACGAGACAAAACUCGUCCACUAGGGCCACCUAGGGGUUUAAAGCCUUAUUGCAUACGGUAAAUGCAAUCGCGAUUCCUGCGAAAGUGAGUUAGCUUUUAUUUUGCUCGAGGACUAGCAAAAUGUAGGUU
Molecule: long non-coding RNA, 544 nt
Filed under: Phoenix dactylifera (date palm)
Lineage: Eukaryota; Viridiplantae; Streptophyta; Magnoliopsida; Arecales; Arecaceae
Description: long non-coding RNA (PDAC_LNC013397)
Source: RNAcentral